RNAcentral lists this small nuclear RNA (141 nucleotides) under Stegodyphus mimosarum. RNAcentral's name for it is "U4 spliceosomal RNA". It matches the Rfam family "U4 spliceosomal RNA". From Rfam's summary of the family: U4 small nuclear RNA (U4 snRNA) is a component of the major U2-dependent spliceosome. The structure of U4 snRNA from yeast and human has been reported. Lineage: Eukaryota; Metazoa; Arthropoda; Arachnida; Araneae; Eresidae. The record is from Rfam by way of RNAcentral.
AGCUUUGCGCAGAGGCAGUGCCAUAGCCAAUGAGGUACUACCGAGGCGUGACUAUUGCUACUUGAAAACCUUUUUCAGAGCUAGAGUAAGAAACUAUGAUUAUUCAAAAAUGAUAAUUAUUUCUGUAUAUAUAUAUAUAUA